Molecule: long non-coding RNA, 453 nt
Filed under: Gallus gallus (chicken)
Lineage: Eukaryota; Metazoa; Chordata; Aves; Galliformes; Phasianidae
Source: RNAcentral
UGCAGUUAUUUAUCCAGGGGCAGUGGUGGUCCAUGCGGCGCACGCAGCGGUGGCACACACGGCAGUGGUGGGCGUGGGGUGGCCAAUACGCCUCACAGCGGCUGCACAGCGUCCACUCAUCCGAGUUCCGCUCCGUUGGGUGUAGGUCUGAGAAGUCGAUGGCGGUGCCGGGGAGGGGAACCACACCGGGGUCAGCAAAGACAGCGCGGGUGUGGGAGGCCAAAAGCAGCAGCACCAGGAGGUUGAACGUCACAGCGUGGAUGGGGCACCAUGGGCUGGAGCGCAGUGCGGGCUGCGGCAGGACGUGGGCGAGCACGGCGUAGUCGGCGUAGCCCACGCUGAGGUAGGCGAGCAGCGGGCAGAGCGCACCGCACGGAUCCCGCCCGCACCGCUCCGCAGCCGCCGCCGCCGCCAUCAUCGCCUCCUCUCCGCCGCUCCGGAGCUUCCGGUCCG